RNAcentral lists this ribosomal RNA (303 nucleotides) under uncultured bacterium. RNAcentral's name for it is "partial 16S ribosomal RNA". It matches the Rfam family "Bacterial small subunit ribosomal RNA", at positions 507 to 807 of the family's 1533-position model. The record is from RNAcentral.
AGCAGUAGCCGCGGGAAUACGUAGGGUGCGAGCGUUAAUCGGAAUUACUGGGCGUAAAGCGUGCGCAGGUGGUUAUAUAAGACAGAUGUGAAAUCCCCGGGCUCAACCUGGGACCUGCAUUUGUGACUGUAUAGCUAGAGUACGGUAGAGGGGGAUGGAAUUCCGCGUGUAGCAGUGAAAUGCGUAGAUAUGCGGAGGAACACCGAUGGCGAAGGCAAUCCCCUGGACCUGUACUGACGCUCAUGCACGAAAGCGUGGGGAGCAAACAGGAUUAGAUACCCCAGUAGUCCCUGUCUCUUAUAC